RNAcentral lists this transfer RNA (69 nucleotides) under Ocypus brunnipes. RNAcentral describes it as "tRNA-Gln". The record is from RNAcentral. Lineage: Eukaryota; Metazoa; Arthropoda; Insecta; Coleoptera; Staphylinidae.
UAUACCUUAGUAUAUGACGUACGAGAAUUUUUGAUAUUCUUAGGAGUAGUUUAACCCUACUGGGUAUAA